This 442-nucleotide ribosomal RNA is filed under the name Duganella sp. RNAcentral describes it as "bacterial SSU rRNA". It matches the Rfam family "Bacterial small subunit ribosomal RNA", at positions 418 to 853 of the family's 1533-position model. Lineage: Bacteria; Pseudomonadati; Pseudomonadota; Betaproteobacteria; Burkholderiales; Oxalobacteraceae. The record is from RNAcentral.
UCGGGUUGUAAAGCUCUUUUGUCAGGGAAGAAAAGGGAUUGGCUAAUAUCUGGUCCUCAUGACGGUACCUGAAGAAUAAGCACCGGCUAACUACGUGCCAGCAGCCGCGGUAAUACGUAGGGUGCAAGCGUUAAUCGGAAUUACUGGGCGUAAAGCGUGCGCAGGCGGUUUUGUAAGACUGUCGUGAAAUCCCCGGGCUCAACCUGGGAAUGGCGAUGGUGACUGCAAGGCUAGAGUUUGGCAGAGGGGGGUAGAAUUCCACGUGUAGCAGUGAAAUGCGUAGAUAUGUGGAGGAACACCGAUGGCGAAGGCAGCCCCCUGGGUCAAAACUGACGCUCAUGCACGAAAGCGUGGGGAGCAAACAGGAUUAGAUACCCUGGUAGUCCACGCCCUAAACGAUGUCUACUAGUUGUCGGGUCUUAAUUGACUUGGUAACGCAGCU